RNAcentral lists this ribosomal RNA (1456 nucleotides) under metagenome. Its description in RNAcentral is "bacterial SSU rRNA". It matches the Rfam family "Bacterial small subunit ribosomal RNA". The record is from RNAcentral.
AGAGUUUGAUCCUGGCUCAGUUUAAACGCUGGCGGCAUGCCUUACACAUGCAAGUCGAACGGCAGCACGGGGGCAACCCUGGUGGCGAGUGGCGGACGGGUGAGUAAUACAUCGGAACGUACCCUGGAGUGGGGGAUAACGUAGCGAAAGUUACGCUAAUACCGCAUAUUCUGUGAGCAGGAAAGCAGGGGAUCGCAAGACCUUGCGCUCUGGGAGCGGCCGAUGUCGGAUUAGCUAGUUGGUGGGGUAAAGGCCUACCAAGGCGACGAUCCGUAGCGGGUCUGAGAGGAUGAUCCGCCACACUGGGACUGAGACACGGCCCAGACUCCUACGGGAGGCAGCAGUGGGGAAUUUUGGACAAUGGGCGAAAGCCUGAUCCAGCCAUGCCGCGUGAGUGAAGAAGGCCUUCGGGUUGUAAAGCUCUUUCGGCGGGGAAGAAAUUGCUUGGGUUAAUACCCUGAGUAGAUGACGGUACCCGAAUAAGAAGCACCGGCUAACUACGUGCCAGCAGCCGCGGUAAUACGUAGGGUGCGAGCGUUAAUCGGAAUUACUGGGCGUAAAGCGUGCGCGGGCGGUUUUGUAAGUCAGAUGUGAAAUCCCCGGGCUCAACCUGGGAACUGCAUUUGAGACUGCAAGACUGGAGUUUGGCAGAGGGGGGUGGAAUUCCACGUGUAGCAGUGAAAUGCGUAGAGAUGUGGAGGAACACCGAUGGCGAAGGCAGCCCCCUGGGCCAAUACUGACGCUCAUGCACGAAAGCGUGGAGAGCAAACAGGAUUAGAUACCCUGGUAGUCCACGCCCUAAACGAUGUCAACUAGGUGUUGGGAGGGUUAAACCUUUUAGUGCCGUAGCUAACGCGUGAAGUCGACCGCCUGGGGAGUACGGCCGCAAGGCUAAAACUCAAAGGAAUUGACGGGGACCCGCACAAGCGGUGAUGAUGUGGAUUAAUUCGAUGCAACGCGAAAAACCUUACCUACCCUUGACAUGUCAGGAAUCCCGGAGAGAUUUGGGAGUGCUCGCAAGAGAACCUGAACACAGGUGCUGCAUGGCUGUCGUCAGCUCGUGUCGUGAGAUGUUGGGUUAAGUCCCGCAACGAGCGCAACCCUUGUCAUUAAUUGCCAUCUUUAAGUAGGGCACUUUAAUGAGACUGCCGGUGACAAACCGGAGGAAGGUGGGGAUGACGUCAAGUCCUCAUGGCCCUUAUGGGUAGGGCUUCACACGUCAUAUAAUGGUCGGUCCAGAGGGUUGCCAACCCGCGAGGGGGAGCCAAUCUCAGAAAGCCGAUCGUAGUCCGGAUCGCAGUCUGCAACUCGACUGCGUGAAGUCGGAAUCGCUAGUAAUCGCGGAUCAGCAUGUCGCGGUGAAUACGUUCCCGGGUCUUGUACACACCGCCCGUCACACCAUGGGAGCGGGUUCUGCCAGAAGUAGUUAGCCUAACCGCAAGGAGGGCGAUUACCA